ACGGGAGGCAGCAGUGGGGAAUAUUGGACAAUGGGCGAAAGCCUGAUCCAGCGACGCCGCGUGAGUGAAGAAGUAUUUCGGUAUGUAAAGCUCUAUCAGCAGGGAAGAAAAUGACGGUACCUGACUAAGAAGCACCGGCUAAAUACGUGCCAGCAGCCGCGGUAAUACGUAUGGUGCAAGCGUUAUCCGGAUUUACUGGGUGUAAAGGGAGCGUAGACGGCGAGGCAAGUCUGAAGUGAAAUGCGGGGGCUCAACCCCUGAACUGCUUUGGAAACUGUUUUGCUAGAGUGCAGGAGAGGUAAGUGGAAUUCCUAGUGUAGCGGUGAAAUGCGUAGAUAUUAGGAGGAACACCGGCGGCGAAGGCGGCUUACUGGACUGUAACUGACGUUGAGGCUCGAAAGCGUGGGGAGCAAACAGGAUUAGAUACCCUGGUA
This 434-nucleotide ribosomal RNA is filed under the name uncultured Lachnospiraceae bacterium. Its description in RNAcentral is "partial 16S ribosomal RNA". It matches the Rfam family "Bacterial small subunit ribosomal RNA", at positions 341 to 792 of the family's 1533-position model. Lineage: Bacteria; Bacillati; Bacillota; Clostridia; Lachnospirales; Lachnospiraceae. The record is from RNAcentral.